UAUAUCCGAUCUGAAAAAGGAGAAAUACAAAUGGAAAGUGAGCAUCCAGGAUUUAAAAAAAUCAGUUUCCCUGAGACAUGUAUAAAAGAGGCUAAACUACCAGACCCCCUUGCUGCAGCGUCCAAUUGUCCAGAUGAAUACACAAUCAAUAAA
This is a long non-coding RNA of Sinocyclocheilus anshuiensis, 153 nucleotides long. RefSeq lists it as uncharacterized. The transcript has 3 exons. Lineage: Eukaryota; Metazoa; Chordata; Actinopteri; Cypriniformes; Cyprinidae. The record is from RefSeq and is a predicted model, not a curated record.